Molecule: transfer RNA, 90 nt
Filed under: Aeriscardovia sp.
Lineage: Bacteria; Bacillati; Actinomycetota; Actinomycetes; Bifidobacteriales; Bifidobacteriaceae
Description: tRNA-Leu
Rfam family: tRNA
About the family: Transfer RNA (tRNA) molecules are approximately 80 nucleotides in length. Their secondary structure includes four short double-helical elements and three loops (D, anti-codon, and T loops).
Source: RNAcentral
CGGUCUGUGCUUGGAAAUGGUAUACAGUGUCGGCUCAAACCCGGCAGCCGAGAUAAACACGGAUUGUGGGUUCGAAUCCCUCCAGACCGA